Molecule: ribosomal RNA, 499 nt
Filed under: uncultured bacterium
Lineage: Bacteria
Description: partial 16S ribosomal RNA
Rfam family: Bacterial small subunit ribosomal RNA
Source: RNAcentral
GAUGAACGCUGGCGGCGUGCUUAACACAUGCAAGUCGAACGGGAAUGUUUCGCUGAUGCGAUUUCGGUCAAAUCUUGAAGCAUUUUAGUGGCGGACGGGUGAGUAACGCGUGGGUAACCUGCCCUGUACAGGGGACAACAGUUGGAAACGACUGCUAAUACCGCAUAAGCGCACAGCUUCGCAUGAAGCAGUGUGAAAAACUCCGGUGGUACAGGAUGGACCCGCGUCUGAUUAGAUGGUUGGUGAGGUAACGGCCCACCAAGUCAACGAUCAGGAGCCGGCCUGAGAGGGCGAACGGCCACAGUGGGACUGAGACACGGCCCAAACUCCUACGGGAGGCAGCAGUGGGGAACAUUGCACAAUGGGGGAAACCCUGAUGCAGCGACGCCGCGUGAGUGAAGAAGUAUUUCGGUAUGUAAAGCUCUAUCAGCAGGGAAGAAAACAAUGACGGUACCUGACUAAGAAGCCCCGGCUAACUACGUGCCAGCCGCCGCGGUAA